This is a long non-coding RNA of Tigriopus californicus, 515 nucleotides long. RefSeq lists it as uncharacterized. Lineage: Eukaryota; Metazoa; Arthropoda; Copepoda; Harpacticoida; Harpacticidae. The transcript is spliced from 2 exons. The record is from RefSeq and is a predicted model, not a curated record.
CUUUAGGUCGGCAAUGUUGGAGAUGCGUCCCUUUUGGACAAAGCCAUUCAUCGUGUGAUCCAUGAUCAGAAGAAAGUCCACCAUUCUGUAAGCAUCCAUCUCCAAGAAUUGGGCGUGAAAAUGUUUUGUAACGAGAGAGGAAAAGAAGUCCUUAAUUACACCUACCCUGAGAUUUCAGCCUGUGGGUGCUGUUCCACCGAUAACCAUUAUUUGGCUUUCAUCGCAGGAAACGAUUUGUGCACGAUGGCCACAGAAUUCAUGUGUCACGUGUUCUAUUGUGCCAAUCAGGCCAAAGCCAGGGAUGUGAUUUCAACAAUUGCCGAGGGAUUUGAGAGAACUCAAAACGCGGUAUAGGGGGAAAAACGUUGUUGAAAAGCGCUAGCAAAUUUGUAGAGGUUGCGUAGUUCUAUUUUCAUAGGUUUCGUGGUAAUUUCGUUCGUCGAGUUUUCUUCUCGAUCAACAAUUUAUUCAUCUGUUGCUACAAACACUCAAUAAAGAUUCGUAUUUAAAACCUA